Molecule: ribosomal RNA, 496 nt
Filed under: uncultured bacterium
Lineage: Bacteria
Description: partial 16S ribosomal RNA
Rfam family: Bacterial small subunit ribosomal RNA
Source: RNAcentral
GAUGAACGCUGGCGGCGUGCCUAAUACAUGCAAGUCGAGCGAACGGACGAGAAGCUUGCUUCUCUGAUGUUAGCGGCGGACGGGUGAGUAACACGUGGAUAACCUACCUAUAAGACUGGGAUAACUUCGGGAAACCGUAGCUAAUACCGGAUAAUAUUUUGAACCGCAUGGUUCAAAAGUGAAAGACGGUCUUGCUGUCACUUAUAGAUGGAUCCGCGCUGCAUUAGCUAGUUGGUAAGGUAACGGCUUACCAAGGCAACGAUGCAUAGCCGACCUGAGAGGGGGAAGAGCCAACAGGGAACGGAGACACGGUCCAAGUCCCAACGGGAGGGAGAAGGAGGGAACUUUCCCCAUUGGGGGAAACCUUGAGGGGGAAACGCGGCGGGGGUGAAGAAGGUCUUCGAGGCGUAAAACGCUUUUUUUAGGAAAGAAAAUAGUUGUAAGAAACUGGCCACAUCUGAAGGGUACCUAUUCAAAAAGCACCGGCUAACUACGG